AACGUUACNNNNNNNNNCCUCGGCGGGAUCUUCUGCCCCGGGUGCGUCGNNNNNCCGGACCAAGGCGCCCGCCGGAGGAAUCAACCAAAACUCUUAUUGUAUACCCCCUCGCGGGUUUUUUUUAUAAUCUGAGCCUUCUCGGCGCCUCUCGUAGGCGUUUCGAAAAUGAAUCAAAACUUUCAACAACGGAUCUCUUGGUUCUGGCAUCGAUGAAGAACGCAGCGAAAUGCGAUAAGUAAUGUGAAUUGCGGAAUUCAGUGAAUCAUCGAAUCUUUGAACGCACAUUGCGCCCGCCAGUAUUCUGGCGGGCAUGCCUGUCCGAGCGUCAUUUCAACCCUCGAACCCCUCCGGGGGGUCGGCGUUGGGGAUCGGCCUUCCUUCACGGGGGCCGUCUCCGAAAUACAGUGGCGGUCUCGCCGCAGCCUCUCCUGCGCAGUAGUUUGCACACUCGCAUCGGGAGCGCGGCGCGUCCACAGCCGUUAAACACCCAACUUUCUGAAAUGUUGACCUCGGAUCAGGUAGGAAUACCCGCUGAACUUA
Molecule: ribosomal RNA, 540 nt
Filed under: uncultured Hypocreaceae
Lineage: Eukaryota; Fungi; Ascomycota; Sordariomycetes; Hypocreales
Description: eukaryotic LSU rRNA
Rfam family: 5.8S ribosomal RNA (bases 175-328)
Source: RNAcentral